UCGGAAAGUGUGUGACGCAUGUGUUUGCCUAGUUUAUAUCUGUUGCUUGUAUUCGUUGCUUUGAAUUUACUUUGCUUUAUAACGUGAGACCCUCGUUCGGUGCUGUCGUCCCGCGACUGUAUAUCCCGUGUUGGCCGCAUUUGAUAAUUUGCAAUGAAAUACUUUGAUUUCAAGGUGAAAUGGAGGAAGUUUUGAAAUAUUUGAGCAUCAACUGGACCUUGAUAUUCUGCCGACUCAACAUGUUCUCAUCAGCAGAGGGAAGCCAGAUCUCAAAGACGGUUGGCAGCCCAGUGAGCCUGCACUGCAACGCCUCCACCAGUAAAUUCAUUCAGCUGACAUGGAAUAUGAAUGGAGUUUACCUGUUCAGUUACAGCUCCGGCGGAGAGCUUCACUACAGUCCAGAAGCCGCAGCGCUAAACUUGAAUGUUUCUACAUCAGCGUCUCGGCUGUAUGCGCUCCUGAUCGACAAGGCCCAGAAGCAUCACGCUGGAAACUACAGCUGCGAGUCGACUACAGUGGCAGGAAUCUUCAGCCAAAACUGGGAGCUCAUUGUAACCGAGAGAGAAGAGAAAAAGCUCGACGUCCUCAUGAUUUCUGUGGGAACGACAGUCGUCUGUGUGUGUUUUCUGAUCUUCAUAUUCACUUGAAUUUUCCUGAGAACCGUCUGCAAGAAGGACAAAGAAAUUUCCGUUAACCCCAUACAAGAAAUGCAGCAAACUGAGGACAUUUAUGAAAACUGCUUGAAAAUUGAACAAAGAAACAAGAAACAUUCCAUUGGUGACAAGCCUUAGUGAAUCGAAUAUUUAAGAAAACCUGUUCUGAAUGUCAUAUUUUUUUAGUUUAUUUGUUUUUAAUGUACUUUAUGUGAAAGAGCGCACAAUAUUUGUUUUUUUUUGUCUUUCUCUCUCCGGCCACCGGAACACCUGCACAUUCUUAUUUAAGUUAAGUAAAUUAAUUUAAGGUAAAAUCUCUGACUCUUAGUUCUGCAUAUCCAGCUGCACCUUUUACUUUUAUUUCUAUUUUAGUCCAGAAGCUGUAGCUCUUGUUAUGACAGGUGUUUCAUGUGGACAGAGGGAAGUGGUCGCCCGUGGGCAGGGCAGAAAAACUCACAGGAAGUACGCCACACUCUUCUGAAGCCAUCAGUGCUGAGAGACUAAGUGAUUUUACUUUUGCAGCACGUUUCCACUGCAUUAGUGGUUCAGCGUGUUGCUCCAGGGAACAUCGACACAAGAGCAACUAGCAACCCUCCAGCCGAGCCACAGCCGCCCUGCAUCAUCAUUUCAGCUCAAAGCUUUAAUUUUCCUGCUCUCAGCUUGAACCGCAGCCUCACGAGUCAAAAGAGGGCAGAGCGACGCAAAGCAGAGCAGAGCUCUCAGUUUGUCAGUGAGUCAAACGUUUCCAUGCAUGAACCGUGACCUGGAACCAAAUGGACGCCCUGGAUAUGAAAAGAUUAGUUCCAAGCAUCAGGGAGGGGCCGAAACCAAAUCACCCAAAUCACAUCUUAUUUACAGAGCACCUUUCACACACGGUGUGGCUCAAAGAGCUUGGCAGGUUGAAAACACAAAAAGAUUAAUUAAACCACAACAUCCCCUUUCUGCGCGCGCGCGCGCGCACACACACACACACACCUCCUGUCCACCCACUACCGACACACAUCUGUCUCCUCGGGGAACGGUGGUCUGGACAGGAUUUUCUGACUCAUUUAAUUCCCACUGUUACACCAUGUGGAAUGAAAAACAAGACGGAUGGAUGGAUGGAUGGAUGGAUGGAUGGGAAAAAAGAGAAAGACAGGACUCUGAGUGUCCACAUGCUCAGUAAAGUGGCUGGUAAUGAAUUAAAGGAAGCUGCAGCGUAAAUCAAACAACAGUCCCAAAAGUAAAGGUGUGAUCAGAAUAAUCUAUUGAUAACAUUUACUUUUUGAUUCACAGUUUCACAUUUUUUAGAGUUUAUAAGGGAGAAGAGCUGCAAUGGUUAGAAAUGUUAGAUGUUUUACAUUUUAUCUAUUGUCCCACUUUUCAUCAUGAAAUUGAAAAUCUUCAAUAAUUUUGAAUUAUUAACUCACCUUAUGUUUUCUAGUAGGGGCUACAUUCUGUGUUGGACUUGCCUCCAUCAAUGAAGCACCAACAUUUUUUUAAUUGGAAAACAUGUUCUGUGAAAAUAUAAAUUAGUACAGCUAAAAACAAGAUGAAGAGUUGCGCAGAAGCAGAUGUUUGUUGUUCUCGGUGGUUAUAAGUGUGAAACAAAAAGGAUGUGGGGAGGUAAAAAUAGCUCAGUACCCAUGAAGCAUUGCUUCCAUCCUGCAUCAAGCUACUUCAGAAGCCUCUGAUAAAGCUUUGAUAAUGUCUGCUAUUGCAAUGUUCAGCUGCUCCAGCCUGGCACACCAGACUGUCUCUCCAUGCUCAGGGAUACAUGUCUUUAUAUGUGUGUAACAUAAAUAAAGUCAGUCUGGCACGCCAGGCUGCAGCUGCUCAGCUGUGGUCCUGUACAGGCAGGAAAUAAAGGAUUUGCACUUUGCUGAUGUGUCUCCAGCCGGGUCACCUGGACAGGAUUAUUUGUUCAGAUGACUUUUCACUUUUCUUACUUAUUAAACUAA
Long non-coding RNA from Salarias fasciatus (jewelled blenny), 2593 nucleotides. RefSeq lists it as uncharacterized. The transcript is spliced from 5 exons. Lineage: Eukaryota; Metazoa; Chordata; Actinopteri; Blenniiformes; Blenniidae. The record is from RefSeq and is a predicted model, not a curated record.